Eutrema salsugineum is the source of this 1589-nucleotide RNA transcript. It is a transcript of the gene named OTU domain-containing protein 3, with no coding region annotated. The record is from RefSeq and is a predicted model, not a curated record. The transcript has 12 exons. Lineage: Eukaryota; Viridiplantae; Streptophyta; Magnoliopsida; Brassicales; Brassicaceae.
CGAAAUAUUUUUUCAUUGCGCCGCCGCAACUAUCCGACUGACAAGCUUCACGAUUCAUUUCGGUCUCAGAAGUUGUGAGAAGACGGAAAGCAAACAAAAAAAUAAUAAUGGCGAAAGCGAAGCCACAGAAAUCUAAGCUUAAGAAACAACCGCAUCAGGUGAAGAAGAAGCAAGGAAAGGAUUGUGAUCUCUCUCAAUUUCGUACUCAGCUUGACGCCUUGGGGCUUAAGAUAAUCCAAGUGACUUCAGAUGGUAAUUGUUUCUUCAGGGCACUUGCUGAUCAAUUGCAAGGCAAUGAGGAUGAACACAGCAAGUACCGUAGCAUGGUUGUACAGUAUAUAGUGAAAAACCGUGAAAUGUUUGAGCCUUUUAUCGAAGAUGAUGUUCCAUUUGAGGAUUACAUUAAAACCAUGGACGAUGAUGGAACUUGGGCUGGGAAUAUGGAGUUACAGGCAGCUUCUCUUGUCACACGCUGUAAUAUAUGUAUCCACAGGAACAUGUCACCGCGUUGGUAUAUACGCAACUUUGAAGAUGCUAGAACCCGCAUGAUCCAUCUGUCUUACCACGAUGGGGAACACUAUAACAGUGUGCGUUUGAAGGAAGAUGCUUGUGGAGGACCAGCCACGCCUGUUGUAAUAGAGGCUGAUGCUAAAGUGUCAGCAGCAUCUAAACAAGCGAAAGCUAUUGAGAGCAACUCCAAAAGCAGAGCGGAUAAGUGUAAGGUGGAUGCUGCUAUCAAUGUAGUCAUGUCGGGUAGUUGCUAUGACAAUGCUGAGAAAGCUGAACAGGUUCUAGUACAAGUAAACGGUGAUGUGGAUGCUGCGAUAGAUUUCCUGAUAGCCGAGCAAGGAAUGGAGUCUUUGACUGAAAAUGAUUCAGAAACCACUUCUGUGGCAGACAUCAAAAAUCGAGAGGAAGCAAGUGACAGUACAAUGGAAAGCACCAAGAAACCAAGAGAAGAAAUGAAUGAGGAGGAAUCAGCUAGCUGCAGUAAUAUCGAAACAGUCCUUGCAAAGUGCAGUUCACAGACCGAUGAGAAGAAGAUCCCGAGGAAUAAAUCGUGUCCAUGUGGUUCAAAGAAGAAAUACAAGUCCUGCUGCGGAACAGCAACUGGGAGAUCCUCUGUUAAACUGUUAGUGAGCCAUACGAUGGAGUCGAAGAAGGGGAGAAAGAAUUCGAGGAGAGGAACAUUGAAUGAAGUGGAAACAGAUAUGGGUGCUCUUUGUAUAUAAUGAAGUCUCACACACUUAAACUUAAUGAAAUAUAAAGGGAUGAAAAAGAUAAUCUUCUUCUUACGAUCCAUUGGAAACUUCACAUAACAGCUUGCUCAGGGAUGAGAGAAGUGGAAGGUGCGAGGACUGUGGUGGUUCCAAGGAGAAUUGUGAGGAGAGAAUCCUGAUGAUGCUGCCAUUCCCACUUGCUCUCCUCCACCGUCCGAUUGCUUUUCCGAUCCGACGGUCUUCGUUGCCUUCAUCGCUAGCGAGAGAUCGCUGCCUAAUAAUCUCUCCUCAUCUCUAAUCCUACUUCUCAUGCUCGUAAUCUUUAAAAUGAUCAAUUUAAACCAUUAUCAAAAUUUUAUCUAUAUUCCG